Molecule: ribosomal RNA, 497 nt
Filed under: uncultured bacterium
Lineage: Bacteria
Description: partial 16S ribosomal RNA
Rfam family: Bacterial small subunit ribosomal RNA
Source: RNAcentral
GAUGAACGCUGGCGGCGUGCCUAAUACAUGCAAGUCGAGCGAACAGAUAAGGAGCUUGCUCCUUUGACGUUAGCGGCGGACGGGUGAGUAACACGUGGAUAACCUACCUAUAAGACUGGGAUAACUUCGGGAAACCGGAGCUAAUACCGGAUAACAUAUUGAACCGCAUGGUUCAAUAGUGAAAGGCGGCUUUGCUGUCACUUAUAGAUGGAUCCGCGCCGUAUUAGCUAGUUGGUAAGGUAACGGCUUACCAAGGCAACGAUACGUAGCCGACCUGAGAGGGUGAUCGGCCACACUGGAACUGAGACACGGUCCAGACUCCUACGGGAGGCAGCAGUAGGGAAUCUUCCGCAAUGGGCGAAAGCCUGACGGAGCAACGCCGCGUGAGUGAUGAAGGUCUUCGGAUCGUAAAACUCUGUUAUCAGGGAAGAACAAAUGUGUAAGUAACUGUGCACAUCUUGACGGUACCUGAUCAGAGAGCCACGGCUAACUACGUG